GAUCCUGGCUCAGAGCGAACGUUUGCGGCGGGCUUAACACAUGCAAGUCGAACGAGAAUCCCUUCGGGGAGGAAAGUGGCGCACGGGUGCGUAACACGUGGAUGACCUACCCCUUGGUUCGGGACAACAGCGGGAAACUGCUGCUAAUACCGGAUGUGUCGUAGCAAUACGAGAAAAGGCCCCGCAAGGGUCGCCAGGGGACGGGUCCGCGUCCCAUCAGCUAGUUGGUGAGGUAAUGGCUCACCAAGGCGAAGACGGGUAGCUGGUCUGAGAGGAUGAUCAGCCACACUGGAACUGAGACACGGUCCAGACUCCUACGGGAGGCAGCAGUGGGGAAUAUUGCGCAAUGGGCGAAAGCCUGACGCAGCCACGCCGCGUGAGCGAUGAAGGUCUUCGGAUCGUAAAGCUCUGUGGGGGGAGAAGAAGAAAGUCGGUGAAGAGCCGGCCCUGACGGUAUCCCCUUAGCAAGCACCGGCUAACUCCGUGCCAGCAGCCGCGGUAAUACGGAGGUGCAAACGUUGCU
Molecule: ribosomal RNA, 523 nt
Filed under: uncultured bacterium
Lineage: Bacteria
Description: bacterial SSU rRNA
Rfam family: Bacterial small subunit ribosomal RNA
Source: RNAcentral